Molecule: ribosomal RNA, 998 nt
Filed under: Staphylococcus aureus
Lineage: Bacteria; Bacillati; Bacillota; Bacilli; Caryophanales; Staphylococcaceae
Description: partial 23S ribosomal RNA
Rfam family: Bacterial large subunit ribosomal RNA
Source: RNAcentral
GGGAGGACCAUCUCCUAAGGCUAAAUACUCUCUAGUGACCGAUAGUGAACCAGUACCGUGAGGGAAAGGUGAAAAGCACCCCGGAAGGGGAGUGAAAUAGAACCUGAAACCGUGUGCUUACAAGUAGUCAGAGCCCGUUAAUGGGUGAUGGCGUGCCUUUUGUAGAAUGAACCGGCGAGUUACGAUUUGAUGCAAGGUUAAGCAGUAAAUGUGGAGCCGUAGCGAAAGCGAGUCUGAAUAGGGCGUUUAGUAUUUGGUCGUAGACCCGAAACCAGGUGAUCUACCCUUGGUCAGGUUGAAGUUCAGGUAACACUGAAUGGAGGACCGAACCGACUUACGUUGAAAAGUGAGCGGAUGAACUGAGGGUAGCGGAGAAAUUCCAAUCGAACCUGGAGAUAGCUGGUUCUCUCCGAAAUAGCUUUAGGGCUAGCCUCAAGUGAUGAUUAUUGGAGGUAGAGCACUGUUUGGACGAGGGGCCCCUCUCGGGUUACCGAAUUCAGACAAACUCCGAAUGCCAAUUAAUUUAACUUGGGAGUCAGAACAUGGGUGAUAAGGUCCGUGUUCGAAAGGGAAACAGCCCAGACCACCAGCUAAGGUCCCAAAAUAUAUGUUAAGUGGAAAAGGAUGUGGCGUUGCCCAGACAACUAGGAUGUUGGCUUAGAAGCAGCCAUCAUUUAAAGAGUGCGUAAUAGCUCACUAGUCGAGUGACACUGCGCCGAAAAUGUACCGGGGCUAAACAUAUUACCGAAGCUGUGGAUUGUCCUUUGGACAAUGGUAGGAGAGCGUUCUAAGGGCGUUGAAGCAUGAUCGUAAGGACAUGUGGAGCGCUUAGAAGUGAGAAUGCCGGUGUGAGUAGCGAAAGACGGGUGAGAAUCCCGUCCACCGAUUGACUAAGGUUUCCAGAGGAAGGCUCGUCCGCUCUGGGUUAGUCGGGUCCUAAGCUGAGGCCGACAGGCGUAGGCGAUGGAUAACAGGUUGAUAUUCCUGUACCACCUAUA